UCCCUGGUGGCUCAGAUGGUAAAGUGUCUGUCUGCAAUGCAGGAGACCCGGGUUCAAUCCCUGGGUUGGGAA
Bos taurus (domestic cattle) is the source of this 72-nucleotide non-coding RNA. The record is from Rfam. Lineage: Eukaryota; Metazoa; Chordata; Mammalia; Artiodactyla; Bovidae.